RNAcentral lists this ribosomal RNA (253 nucleotides) under uncultured bacterium. RNAcentral's name for it is "partial 16S ribosomal RNA". It matches the Rfam family "Bacterial small subunit ribosomal RNA", at positions 524 to 776 of the family's 1533-position model. The record is from RNAcentral.
UACGUAGGUGGCGAGCGUUAUCCGGAAUGAUUGGGCGUAAAGGGCGUGCAGCCGGGCUGACAAGUCAGAUGUGAAAUCCCGCGGCUCAACCGCGGAACUGCAUUUGAAACUGUCAGUCUUGAGUACCGGAGAGGUCAUCGGAAUUCCUUGUGUAGCGGUGAAAUGCGUAGAUAUCGCGCAGAACUCCGAUUGCGAAGGCAGCAUGCCGGCUCCACACUGACGCUGAGGCACGAAAGCGUGGGUAUCGAACAGG